RNAcentral lists this ribosomal RNA (253 nucleotides) under uncultured bacterium. Its description in RNAcentral is "partial 16S ribosomal RNA". It matches the Rfam family "Bacterial small subunit ribosomal RNA", at positions 524 to 776 of the family's 1533-position model. The record is from RNAcentral.
GACAGGGGUCUCGAGCGUUAAUCGGAAUUACUGGGCUUAAAGGGCUCGUAGGUGGCCAACUAAGUCAGACGUGAAAUCCCUCGGCUUAACCGGGGAACUGCGUCUGAUACUGGAUGGCUUGAGUUCGGGAGAGGGAUGCGGAAUUCCAGGUGUAGCGGUGAAAUGCGUAGAUAUCUGGAGGAACACCGGUGGCGAAGGCGGCAUCCUGGACCGACACUGACGCUGAGGAGCGAAAGCCAGGGGAGCAAACGGG